Molecule: ribosomal RNA, 240 nt
Filed under: uncultured bacterium
Lineage: Bacteria
Description: partial 16S ribosomal RNA
Rfam family: Bacterial small subunit ribosomal RNA
Source: RNAcentral
UGAGUAACCUGCCCUUAACUCUGGGAUAAGCCUGGGAAACUGGGUCUAAUACCGGAUAUGACUCCUCAUCGCAUGGUGGGGGGUGGAAAGCUUUAUUGUGGUUUUGGAUGGACUCGCGGCCUAUCAGCUUGUUGGUGAGGUAAUGGCUCACCAAGGCGACGACGGGUAGCCGGCCUGAGGAGGGUGACCCGGCCACACUGGGACUGAGACACCGGCCCAGACCUCCGUACGGGGAGGCAG